This 994-nucleotide long non-coding RNA is filed under the name Ricinus communis (castor bean). RNAcentral describes it as "long non-coding RNA (RCOM_LNC000027)". Lineage: Eukaryota; Viridiplantae; Streptophyta; Magnoliopsida; Malpighiales; Euphorbiaceae. The record is from RNAcentral.
CGGUGUCAAUAUUUUUGGACUUAUUUGUACCUUUUAAAAAAUUAAAAGGUGAAAUUAAACUAUUUUGAAGUAUGAGAAUUUAAUUGUACACUCCCAAUUAGUUUAGGGGCUUUUAUUUUGUACCUUAUGCCUAUUUAAUACUAACACUACUAUUUUAUUUUCUUUUAAAAGCCUAACCAUUCCUCAUCAGUUCGAGAUCAUCUCUAAUUCUAGGUUUUAUUUUUCAAUUCACAAGUAGAAAUCAUAUUCGAAGUCAAUAUCAUUCAUUUUGAUGGGAUCCUGCUCGUAAUUGGGGUUAUAUAGAUGCAAGCACUUUAUCAGAGUUUGGAUUCAGUCGGGCUACCACUUCAACACUCCGCUGCAACCACCAACGUAGAGGUGGGGCUUCCCAUCCUUCCCUUUCAACCUCGUCAUCGUUCUUUGUUCAUCUCCAGCGAACAAUGCAAUUCCUGUAGAACACCAUGAAGAAUUCAUCAACCAAGAAAAUUAAGAAAGAGUAAGAAAAAGAAAGAAGAAAGGAAAAGAAGAUGUUGAACCUGUUACAAGACAAAGAUAUAUAGACUAAAAUGACAAAGAAACUUUUAUGAGAAAUCAAGAUACUGCAAUCAAAUGACAAGAGAGGUCAUUAAAUCAACAUAAAUUUCUCCUUUUUUUUUUCGUUGUCAAGUAACAAUUGGUUAUUGCGUAAUUUUGGAUUGUUGAAUGAAUUUGUUAAUUUAAUUGAAAGAGUUAAAAGUCUUGCAAUGGAUUUGUUCAUUUAGAUUGUUUGGAUGGGUUUAUUCUUGAGAUUGAGGAUCUAACUAAAACUCAUCAAUUAUGGUUGUUGAGUAAUGUGAGGUUUGAUUGAGACUCUGUCAAUAAAGAAGAAAAGAUGGAUGAAUAAGGGUGCAGGCAGUGAAAAGCUGAUGUCUUUUUUUUUUCCAGCUUUACUUUGUAAAGCGUGUGCUAAGUGGUCAAUAAUGUCCUCUUUCGUAAUAUUAAACGGUGAGUCUUA